GGUGAGGACCCUGAGCGAGUUUUUCCGGGGCUUUCCGGGCUCGGACUCCUCCCACCCCUUUUGUUGAACGUACCUUCUGUUUGCUUUGGCGGCUCCGGCCGCCAAAGGACCUCCAAACUCCAGUCAGUAAACGCAGACGUCUGAUAAACAAGUUAAUAAACUAAAACUUUCAACAACGGGAUCUCCUUGGUUCUGGGC
This 198-nucleotide ribosomal RNA is filed under the name uncultured Ascomycota. RNAcentral describes it as "partial 18S ribosomal RNA". Lineage: Eukaryota; Fungi; Ascomycota. The record is from RNAcentral.